This 565-nucleotide ribosomal RNA is filed under the name uncultured bacterium. Its description in RNAcentral is "bacterial SSU rRNA". It matches the Rfam family "Bacterial small subunit ribosomal RNA", at positions 55 to 647 of the family's 1533-position model. The record is from RNAcentral.
AUGCAAGUCGAACGGGGUAGCAAUACCCAGUGGCAGACGGGUGAGUAACACGUGGUCAACCUACCUCUGUGUGGGGGAUAACUAGCCGAAAGGUUAGCUAAUACCGCAUACGAUCGUUUGGAGGCAUCUUCGAACGAUGAAAGGAGCAAUCCGCACGGAGAGGGGACUGCGUCCCAUUAGUUAGUUGGUGGGGUAACGGCCUACCAAGACCGCGAUGGGUAGCUGGCUUGAGAGAGCGACCAGCCACACUGGAACUGAGACACGGUCCAGACUCCUACGGGAGGCAGCAGUGAGGAAUUUUCCGCAAUGGGCGCAAGCCUGACGGAGCGACGCCGCGUGUGGGAAGAAGGCCUUCGGGUCGUAAACCACUGUCGAAGGGGACGAUAUUGACGGUACCCUUGGAGGAAGCCCCGGCUAACUACGUGCCAGCAGCCGCGGUAAGACGUAGGGGGCAAGCGUUGUCCGGAAUUAUUGGGCGUAAAGCGCUCGUAGGUGGAUCGACAAGUCUGCAAGGAAAGAACCGGGCUCAACUCGGGAACCCGUGUGGAUACUGCCGAUCUUGUGG